This 497-nucleotide ribosomal RNA is filed under the name uncultured bacterium. RNAcentral describes it as "partial 16S ribosomal RNA". It matches the Rfam family "Bacterial small subunit ribosomal RNA", at positions 28 to 507 of the family's 1533-position model. The record is from RNAcentral.
GAUGAACGCUGGCGGCGUGCCUAAUACAUGCAAGUCGAGCGAACAGACGAGGAGCUUGCUCCUCUGACGUUAGCGGCGGACGGGUGAGUAACACGUGGAUAACCUACCUGUAAGACUGGGAUAACUUCGGGAAACCGGAGCUAAUACCGGAUAAUAUAUUGAACCGCAUGGUUCAAUAGUGAAAGACGGUUUUGCUGUCACUUAUAGAUGGAUCCGCGCCGCAUUAGCUAGUUGGUAAGGUAACGGCUUACCAAGGCGACGAUGCGUAGCCGACCUGAGAGGGUGAUAGGCCACACUGGAACUGAGACACGGUCCAGACUCCUACGGGAGGCAGCAGUAGGGAAUCUUCCGCAAUGGGCGAAAGCUUGACGGAGCAACGCCGCGUGAGUGAUGAAGGUCUUCGGAUCGUAAAACUCUGUUAUUAGGGAAGAACAAAUGUGUAAGUAACUAUGCACGUCUUGACGGUACCUAAUCAGAAAGCCACGGCUAACUACGUG